This 253-nucleotide ribosomal RNA is filed under the name uncultured bacterium. RNAcentral's name for it is "partial 16S ribosomal RNA". It matches the Rfam family "Bacterial small subunit ribosomal RNA", at positions 524 to 776 of the family's 1533-position model. The record is from RNAcentral.
UACGGAGGGUGCAAGCGUUAAUCGGAAUUACUGGGCGUAAAGGGCUCGUAGGUGGCCAACUAAGUCAGACGUGAAAUCCCCCGGCUUAACCUGGGAACUGCGUCUGAUACUGGAAGGCUCGAGUUUGGGAGAGGGAUGUGGAAUUCCAGGUGUAGCGGUGAAAUGCGUAGAUAUCUGGAGGAACACCGGUGGCGAAGGCGGCAUCCUGGACCAACACUGACGCUGAGGCGCGAAAGCUAGGGGAGCAAACGGG